Molecule: ribosomal RNA, 245 nt
Filed under: uncultured bacterium
Lineage: Bacteria
Description: partial 16S ribosomal RNA
Rfam family: Bacterial small subunit ribosomal RNA
Source: RNAcentral
UACGGGGGAUGCAAGCGUUAUCCGGAUUUAUUGGGUUUAAAGGGUGCGUAGGCGGACGCAUGAGUCAGUGGUGAAAGACUGAUGCUUAACGAUAGCAUUGCCAUUGAUACUGUGUGUCUUGAGUGUAGAUGAGGUAGGCGGAAUGUGUAGUGUAGCGGUGAAAUGCUUAGAUAUUACACAGAACACCGAUUGCGAAGGCAGCUUACUAAUCUAUUACUGACGCUGAUGCACGAAAGCGUGGGGAU